Molecule: long non-coding RNA, 410 nt
Filed under: Brassica napus (rape)
Lineage: Eukaryota; Viridiplantae; Streptophyta; Magnoliopsida; Brassicales; Brassicaceae
Description: long non-coding RNA (BNAP_LNC003343)
Source: RNAcentral
UUUGAUUGGUAAGAGCUGUGAUUUUAUUUUUUGGCUGUAGAAAUAUUGCUGUGAUUUUUUUUUUUGCUUUGGUUCUAAAUUUUUAAAUUUUAGAAGCCUUUAAAUUUGGGAUUAGAUAUUUGUCUCUGCAUAACAAUUAUAAAGAUAUAAUUUAAAAAAAAGUGCUAUAGAUUUAAAAAAAAAAGGAUGUGAGCUUUAAAAGAAAAUACAAAUCAAUCAGGGUUGUAGGUAUAAUUGUGGCUGUGGAGAGCAAUAUUCAGUCACACCCAAAAAAAGAAGAAUUUGACUAAAUAUCAAAAAUUAAUAUUGGUCCAGAAAAACAUUUGACUUUGAACAUACAAGCUAAUUUCCGGUCAACAUAUAAUUUUGUUUCAUAUUUACAUAUAUGCAAAUAAACUCUUAAUUACAAC